UUCUCCCUCACUGCUCCAUGACGGCGACCUUCCCUCGAGGAGGGCCGUUCUCGGUCAAGGGUAUCCGAGCACCCGCGUUACCGGCUAAAACCUCCAAACAAAUGACCGCCAAGUGCAGGAGCGGGAAGUCCCGCCCAGAAGCGAUGCGCGCGCACGAAAACGCCUCAUUGUGGUCCCUCAUUGGCUCAUCUCUGCUGUCUCUCUCCCUCAGUUCUUCAGGGUGCCAUAGUUCCCGGAGCUCUGGAGGCCGCGGGGAAGAGUGUUCUCCAUCCUGACCCAGUACGGUCUUGGCCACGGGUCCCCUGAGAGAUGCUGGAAAUUGGUGCUCGUACCCAGAGAGAGGGGCUUUGCUCCCUGUUAAAGGCGGCGAAGAGAUGUAAUUUCAGACUCGGUGAAGAUUGUAUUUCUUAGAGCAGUUUUACCAUCAUAGCACAACUGAGCGGAAGGUACAGGGAAUUCCCGUAUACCUCCAGCCCCGCCACAUGCAAUGUGUUCACAGGAAAGGUCAUCUACAAGCCAAGAAGAGAGUUCACACUAGAAACCAAUGCUGACGGCACCUUGAUCUUGAACUUCUAGACUCCCAAACUGUAAGAAAAUAAGUUUCUGUUGUUUAAGUCACCCACUCUAUGAUACUUUGUUAUGAUAACCUGAGCUGACUAAUGCACAUUAUGGUAGCAGGAGUUGGAUGUUGCUGUAACAAAUACCUAAAAAUGUGGAAGUGAUUUUGGAACUGAGUAAUUGGUAAAGCCUGGAAGAGUUUUGCGGUACAUGCUAUUAUUGAUAAAAAUCUCUGGAAAACAGGAGUUUUGUCAAAGGAAAGCUUUGUUGUAUUUGCAUGAACAGUUUGCAAACCAGGGAGACGCAGAGUUUGGGGCAAACUGAAAGUACACUCUGAAGAGGGGGAAGGCCCAGCAAGGGUUUUAAAGACUAAAACCACAGAAGCCACAGGAACAUUUUCGCAGUUCCUCUACUAGCUUAUCCUCACAUAGAAACUAUUGUCUUGUGCUGACUCCCUGCUGGGUUAAGGUGAGGCUGUAUUGGGCUGAGCUACCUAGAUACAGAAGGAAACAUUUGGUUACAAGUACAGCUUGAGGUUUUUCUCAACAGAACAGAAUAUGUGACUGCACAUUGGUCCCAUUAUGGCCACUUGACUCCACCCUGUUUUUAGGGCCCAGUUAGCCACACAGAGUCCAUUUUGUUUUUCUCUAUUAUUCCGUGUUUGGCGGUUUCUGAUUUUAUUUCAUUCCACACCAUAUAAAGAAAAGAUUGCCUUCAAGGGACUGUUGGUAGAAAUAUUAACGUUAAUGGUGAUUCUGCUAAGGUCUCAGAUGGAAACUAAGAUGGAAAUGUGACUAGAAAUUGGAGCAAAGGCAAUCCUUGUUAUAAUGUGGUAAGAACAUGGUGAAAUUGUGUUAGAGUGUUUGGGCAGGUAGAUGUGGUUUGUGAUGCACUCGCAUAUUUACCUGAGGAUACUUCUAAGCACAGCGUUGAAAGUGCAGCUUGGGUUUUCUUUACUAUUUAUUGUAAAAUGCAAGAGGUAGGAGAUGAACUGAAGAAAGACUUUUUAAUCAAACAAGAAUCAGAAUUUGAAGAUUUGGAAAGUUUUCCAUCAUCCAUAGUGCAAAAAAAUAAGAAACCGUGUUCUAGACACAACACCAAGAUAUGGCUGGAAAAUUAUUUGAUAAAGAGAUUAUGGGGGCUGGCCCGGUGGUGUAGUGGUUAACUUUGCGCAUUCCACUUUGGUGGCCCAGGGUUUGCAGGUUCGGAUCCCGGGGUGGACUCAUCAAGCCAUGCUGUAGUGGCAUCCAAUAUACAAGGUAGAGGAGGAUUGGCUCAGAUGUUAGCUCAGGGACCAUCUUCCUCAAGCAAAAAGAGGAAGAUUGGCAAUAGAU
This is a long non-coding RNA of Diceros bicornis minor, 1892 nucleotides long. RefSeq lists it as uncharacterized. The transcript is spliced from 3 exons. Lineage: Eukaryota; Metazoa; Chordata; Mammalia; Perissodactyla; Rhinocerotidae. The record is from RefSeq and is a predicted model, not a curated record.